AGGCGCGGGCUCAACCCGCGGACGGCACAUGAUACUGCGAGACUAGAGUAAUGGAGGGGGAACCGGAAUUCUCGGUGUAGCAGUGAAAUGCGUAGAUAUCGAGAGGAACACUCGUGGCGAAGGCGGGUUCCUGGACAUUAACUGACGCUGAGGCACGAAGGCCAGGGGAGCGAAAGGGAUUAGAUACCCCUGUAGUCCUGGCAGUAAACGGUGCACGCUUGGUGUGCGGGGAAUCGACCCCCUGCGUGCCGGAGCUAACGCGUUAAGCGUGCCGCCUGGGGAGUACGGUCGCAAGAUUAAAACUCAAAGAAAUUGACGGGGACCCGCACAAGCGGUGGAGUAUGUGGCUUAAUUCGAUGCAACGCGAAGAACCUUACCUGGGCUUGACAUGUAAUGAACAACAUGUGAAAGCAUGCGACUCUUCGGAGGCGUUACACAGGUGCUGCAUGGCCGUCGUCAGCUCGUGUCGUGAGAUGUUUGGUUAAGUCCAGCAACGAGCGCAACCCCUGUUGCCAGUUACCAGCACGUGAAGGUGGGGACUCUGGCGAGACUGCCCAGAUCAACUGGGAGGAAGGUGGGGACGACGUCAGGUCAGUAUGGCCCUUAUGCCCAGGGCUGCACACGUACUACAAUGCCCAGUACAGAGGGGGCCGAAGCCGCGAGGCGGAGGAAAUCCUGAAAACUGGGCCCAGUUCGGACUGUAGGCUGCAACCCGCCUACACGAAGCCGGAAUCGCUAGUAAUGGCGCAUCAGCUACGGCGCCGUGAAUACGUUCCCGGGUCUUGUACACACCGCCCGUCACAUCAUGGAAGCCGGUCGCACCCGAAGUAUCUGAAGCCAACCGCAAGGAGGCAGGGUCCUAAGGUGAGACUGGUAACUGGGAUGAAGUCGUAACAAGGUAGCCGUAGGGGAACCUGCGGCUG
Molecule: ribosomal RNA, 923 nt
Filed under: human gut metagenome
Description: bacterial SSU rRNA
Rfam family: Bacterial small subunit ribosomal RNA
Source: RNAcentral